Long non-coding RNA from Oncorhynchus tshawytscha (Chinook salmon), 1330 nucleotides. The record is from Ensembl. Lineage: Eukaryota; Metazoa; Chordata; Actinopteri; Salmoniformes; Salmonidae.
GCCGGGUGGAGAGGAACCAGGCUCUGAGGGGUGGACCAGUCCUCUUUCUGGUUGUGCCGGGUGGAGAGGAACCAGGCUCUGAGGGGUGGACCAGUCCUCUUUCUGGUUGUGCCGGGUGGAGAGGAACCAGGCUCUGAGGGGUGGACCAGUCCUCUUUCUGGUUGUGCCGGGUGGAGAGGAACCAGGCUCUGAGGGGUGGACCAGUCCUCAGAGAUUGGUGAUUAUAAGGAGUAUACGGCCAUUAAGGCCAGAUGGUUCUUCAAGAUGUUCAGACGAUCAUAGAUGACCAGCAGGGUGAGAUAAUAAUCACAGUGGUUAUAGAUCAGGGCUCUCCAAUAGGUGGAUGGACAUCUACCAGCAGCUCACAGCCCACCUAUGAGUAGCUCACCAUGUAGUUGGGCUCCUGAGUGGCGCAGCGAUCUAAGGCACAGAAUCUCAGUGCAAGAGGUGUUCACUACAGACCCUGGUUCGAUUCUAGGCUGUAUCACAACUGGCCAUGAUUGGGGAGUCCCAAAUUUGGUCACAUACGCAUGGUUAGCAGAUGUUAUUGCAGGUGUAGUGAAAUGCUUGUGCUUCUAGUUCCAACAGUGCAGUAAUAUCUUACAAUUUCACAACAUACCCAAUACACACACAUCUAAGUAAAGGACUGGAAUUAAGAAUAUAUAAAUAUAUGGUUGAGAAAUGUCAGAGCGGCAGAGACAGAAAGACUUUCCCCAUUUACCUGGUCAAUUAAAUGUUAACUGUAAAGUAGGCUUACCUGACAGAAAAGUCAUGAUUAUUUACAUCAAUUACGUGGUCAAUUAAAUGUUAACUGUAAAGUAGGCUUACCUGACAGAACGGUCAUGAUUAUUUACAUCAAUUACCUGGUCAAUUAAAUGUUAACUGUAAAGUAGGCUUACCUGACAGAACGGUCAUGAUUAUUUACAUCAAUUACGUGGUCAAUUAAAUGUUAACUGUGAAGUAGGCUUACCUGACACAACGGUCAUGAUUAUUUACAUCAAUUACCUGGUCAAUUAAAUGUUAACUGUAAAGUAGGCUUACCUGACACAACGGUCAUGAUUAUUUACAUCAAUUGGAUGGCCAUUGUUUUACAAACUCUACCAUGACGCGAGCUGCAGUCGUCCUGACAGAAGCAUCACUACAGCGACACAUCUCUCUCUGGCUCGAUGCGCAAUUAAAAGGGAAUUACACUCAAAAAAUCUAAAAUCGUUAUGUUUAGGUCUGAAGGUCUUCUGAUGUGAUUUAAGCAUAGACGUGGACUCAGAACAUUCAGUUGCUGUUUCUCUAUGAACAGUUGUACUAUUGAGAGUUAAAAACGGAGUCAAAACCA